Molecule: long non-coding RNA, 247 nt
Organism: Rhodamnia argentea
Lineage: Eukaryota; Viridiplantae; Streptophyta; Magnoliopsida; Myrtales; Myrtaceae
Exons: 3
Source: RefSeq, a predicted model, not a curated record
UGGAAUUGGCCUCGUCGAUGACGAAAGGCGGAUAGGAUUUGAGCACGAUCUCCCUGUGCUUCUUGUGAAAAGUGAGCUCGAAGUACUGAACCUCGUGCUGAAUUGUCGGGUUCCAGCCUGGAUGAACUCGGCCCGAGUCGACUUGUCUCGACGCGCGAACCCACUUGAGCUCAACCCCAUGGAACGUAUCCACCAGCGCUUGAUUCCGGUCCAUAGCCAGAGUGAGGUGGUUCUCCUUCGUGGGCUU